Molecule: long non-coding RNA, 466 nt
Organism: Hemicordylus capensis (graceful crag lizard)
Lineage: Eukaryota; Metazoa; Chordata; Lepidosauria; Squamata; Cordylidae
Exons: 3
Source: RefSeq, a predicted model, not a curated record
GCAGGCACCUACAAAACCACUUGUGAGUGCACCAACCCUCUGGCAAGCAGGACACUCGGCACCACACAGAUCUCCUCCCCAGAGGUCUCAUUUUUAAGAAGCUUUGCUGAAUUAUAGGUCGCUCCUUGCCAGGUCGAUUUCCAAAAAUAUUUGAAGGCAAUGGGAGAGUCUUGCAGUUUACAGUGGAAAAGUCUUGCAGUGUCAGCAGAAGGCACUGCUUGGCAACUUCUCUCGCCGAUCUUCCGCAAGGCUAAAUGAAGGGGAGUUUGACCGUUGUGUUUGGAACCUAUUGGCAGCCAGUAUAACUCCAUCAGUAAAGGAGUAACAUGGUCUCUCCGAGAUGACCCAGAGACCAACCUGGCUGCCACGUUCUGAAGCAACUGAAGUUUCCGGACUACAAAGGCAGCCCCACGUAGAGAGUAUUACAAAAGUCUAGUCUGGAGGUUACCAGCAGAUGUACCACAGU